UCUCCGUUGGUGAACCAGCGGAGGGAUCAUUACUGGAAUCGCAAGAUCCCACAACCCUGUGAACCUACCGAAACGUUGCCUCGGCGGGUGCCCGGCCUCUGCGCCGGGCGCUGCGCCCGCCGGCGGCCCCCUACUCUGUCUCUGCAGCGUGGCAUCUCAGAGUCCCAGAAAACAAGUCAAAACUUUCAACAACGGAUCUCUUGGCUCUAGCAUCGAUGAGAACGCAGC
RNAcentral lists this unclassified non-coding RNA (228 nucleotides) under plant metagenome. RNAcentral's name for it is "partial contains small subunit ribosomal RNA, internal transcribed spacer 1, and 5.8S ribosomal RNA". The stretch from base 181 to 228 matches the Rfam family "5.8S ribosomal RNA", at positions 1 to 49 of the family's 154-position model. The record is from RNAcentral.